This 468-nucleotide ribosomal RNA is filed under the name uncultured bacterium. Its description in RNAcentral is "partial 16S ribosomal RNA". It matches the Rfam family "Bacterial small subunit ribosomal RNA", at positions 28 to 507 of the family's 1533-position model. The record is from RNAcentral.
GACGAACGCUGGCGGCGUGCUUAACACAUGCAAGUCGAACGGAAAGGCCCUGCUUUUGUGGGGUGCUCGAGUGGCGAACGGGUGAGUAACACGUGAGUAACCUGCCCUUGACUUUGGGAUAACUUCAGGAAACUGGGGCUAAUACCGGAUAGGAGCUCCUGCUGCAUGGUGGGGGUUGGAAAGUUUCGGCGGUUGGGGAUGGACUCGCGGCUUAUCAGCUUGUUGGUGGGGUAGUGGCUUACCAAGGCUUUGACGGGUAGCCGGCCUGAGAGGGUGGCCGGCCACAUUGGGACUGAGAUACGGCCCAGACUCCUACGGGAGGCAGCAGUGGGGAAUAUUGCACAAUGGGCGGAAGCCUGAUGCAGCAUCGCCGCGUGCGGGAUGACGGCCUUCGGGUUGUAAACCGCUUUCGCCUGUGACGAAGCGUGAGUGACGGUAAUGGGUAAAGAAGCACCGGCUAACUACGUG